This is a long non-coding RNA of Ailuropoda melanoleuca (giant panda), 539 nucleotides long. RefSeq lists it as uncharacterized. Lineage: Eukaryota; Metazoa; Chordata; Mammalia; Carnivora; Ursidae. The record is from RefSeq and is a predicted model, not a curated record. The transcript has 4 exons.
UUGGAAGGAAGUAUUGACAAAUCAGAAGGUGACACGCUUCCCCGCUGUCUACCAGUCAGUGUUUCUCAUAGCCCUGGACUCCUAUGGAGAAGGCCCUGGAGAUGAAGGCUUCGGAAACAAGUCUACCAAAGGCUGAGGGGGCCACCCUUCUUCAGCUCCAUCUCCGCGGAGGAGCAGACCCCUGAGGAAUGUCUCCACGAUUCGUCGGCCCCAUCGCUCCUUUCCUGAAGACAGACCCAGCUGCGGAUUUUCUAAUGAGCUCUGUGAACCCACACCUGCUUCUACAGGGGUGACUGCUGUGAUCCUCACAAUGGCCCUCCUGGUUACUGUCUUGGGAACUGUGACAGGUCUGAUUUUAAAGAUGCAGAGUGGAAAAUUGCAAAAGCAAAAUAAAGACAUUUGGUGGCAAAUCAAUUAUGAUGACAUCACCAUUCUGCCCCAGAAUGAGCCAUCCCAGAGAGGCACACCUGUGUCGAGAGGGGACAACCGUCAUUCAUCUAGUGUGAUGAUUUCUGGGGACGCCAGUUCCUUUGUCAAGA